This 81-nucleotide transfer RNA is filed under the name Tannerella sp. RNAcentral's name for it is "tRNA-Leu". It matches the Rfam family "tRNA". From Rfam's summary of the family: Transfer RNA (tRNA) molecules are approximately 80 nucleotides in length. Their secondary structure includes four short double-helical elements and three loops (D, anti-codon, and T loops). The record is from RNAcentral. Lineage: Bacteria; Pseudomonadati; Bacteroidota; Bacteroidia; Bacteroidales; Tannerellaceae.
GCGGCAGUGGCGUAAUGGUAGCCGCGUCGGCCUUAGGAGCCGGUGCCGAAAGGCGUGGGGGUUCGAGUCCCUUCUGCCGCA